CCAAUUCUUCCUCUUUUUCUCACUCUUUUCCUUCCUCAACUUUCUGUUUUCUUUUUUUCUUAUUUUAUUCUUCAUUUUUGCACAUUUUUUAUUUUUCUUUUUUCUUUCAACCACUUGAAUGAUAAAGCUUCCUAGAUCUUGUAAUUUAGGAGGUAAUGUCCUCUGUUUGACUGCACUGCAAUUUCCUUGCACCUCAAUAGUUUCCUUCUUAA
This 212-nucleotide long non-coding RNA is filed under the name Vigna radiata. Its description in RNAcentral is "long non-coding RNA (VRAD_LNC014146)". Lineage: Eukaryota; Viridiplantae; Streptophyta; Magnoliopsida; Fabales; Fabaceae. The record is from RNAcentral.